RNAcentral lists this ribosomal RNA (253 nucleotides) under uncultured bacterium. RNAcentral's name for it is "partial 16S ribosomal RNA". It matches the Rfam family "Bacterial small subunit ribosomal RNA", at positions 524 to 776 of the family's 1533-position model. The record is from RNAcentral.
UACGUAGGGUGCAAGCGUUGCCCGGAUUUACUGGGCGUAAAGAGCGCGCAGGCGGUCGUUCAAGUCGUGUGUGAAAGCCCCCGGCUCAACUGGGGAGGGUCACGCGAUACUGAUCGACUCGAAGGCAGGAGAGGGUAGUGGAAUUCCCGGUGUAGUGGUGAAAUGCGUAGAUAUCGGGAGGAACACCAGUGGCGAAGGCGACUACCUGGCCUGUUCUUGACGCUGAGGCGCGAAAGCUAGGGGAGCAAACGGG